This 1694-nucleotide ribosomal RNA is filed under the name Alcanivorax sp. HI0083. RNAcentral's name for it is "bacterial LSU rRNA". It matches the Rfam family "Bacterial large subunit ribosomal RNA", at positions 1078 to 2757 of the family's 2925-position model. Lineage: Bacteria; Pseudomonadati; Pseudomonadota; Gammaproteobacteria; Oceanospirillales; Alcanivoracaceae. The record is from RNAcentral.
GGAAGGCUCAGACAGCUAGGAGGUUGGCUUAGAAGCAGCCACCCUUUAAAGAAAGCGUAAUAGCUCACUAGUCGAGUCGGCCUGCGCGGAAGAUGUAACGGGGCUCAAACUGGAUACCGAAGCUGCGGCAGCAGACUUGUUCUGCUGGGUAGGGGAGCGUUGUGUAAGCCUGUGAAGGUGUGUUGAGAAGCAUGCUGGAGGUAUCACAAGUGCGAAUGCUGACGUGAGUAACGAUAAUGCGGGUGAAAAACCCGCACGCCGAAAGACCAAGGUUUCCUGCGCAACGCUAAUCGGCGCAGGGUGAGUCGGCCCCUAAGGCGAGGCAGAAAUGCGUAGCUGAUGGGAAACGGGUUAAUAUUCCCGUACUUCUUAUAACUGCGAUGGAGAGACGGAGAAGGCUAUGCCUACCGGGCGUUGGUUGUCCCGGGGAAAGGCUGUAGGCUGAGGUGUUAGGCAAAUCCGGCACCUUAAGGCUGAGAGUCGAGACCACUGGUCCUUUGUGACCGGGAAGUGGUUGAUGCCAUGCUUCCAGGAAAAUCUUCUAAGCUUCAGGUUAUAAGGAACCGUACCCCAAACCGACACAGGUGGUUGGGAUGAGUAUUCUAAGGCGCUUGAGAGAACUCGGGUGAAGGAACUAGGCAAAGUGGUACCGUAACUUCGGGAGAAGGUACGCCGCUGACGGUGAUGGGAUUUACUCCCUAAGCUAUCGGCGGUCGCAGUGAAAAGGCCCCUGCAACUGUUUAUUAAAAACACAGCACUCUGCAAACGCGUAAGCGGACGUAUAGGGUGUGACGCCUGCCCGGUGCCGGAAGGUUAAUUGAUGGGGUUAGCUUCGGCGAAGCUCUUGAUCGAAGCCCCGGUAAACGGCGGCCGUAACUAUAACGGUCCUAAGGUAGCGAAAUUCCUUGUCGGGUAAGUUCCGACCUGCACGAAUGGCGUAAUGAUGGGGGCGCUGUCUCCACCCGAGACUCAGUGAAAUCGAAAUCGCAGUGAAGAUGCUGUGUACCCGCGGCUAGACGGAAAGACCCCGUGAACCUUUACUAUAGCUUCACAGUGGACUUUGAACCUGUUUGUGUAGGAUAGCUGGGAGACUUUGAAGCAGUGACGCUAGUCAUUGUGGAGUCGUCCUUGAAAUACCAGCCUGGCAUGUUUGAGGUUCUAACCUGGGUCCCUUAUCGGGAUCGGGGACAUUGUGUGGUGGGUAGUUUGACUGGGGCGGUCUCCUCCCAAAGAGUAACGGAGGAGCACAAAGGUACCCUCAGCACGGUCGGACAUCGUGCAACGAGCGUAAAGGUAGAAGGGUGCUUGACUGCGAGACCUACAAGUCGAGCAGGUGCGAAAGCAGGUCUUAGUGAUCCGGUGGUUCUGUAUGGAAGGGCCAUCGCUCAACGGAUAAAAGGUACUCCGGGGAUAACAGGCUGAUACCGCCCAAGAGUUCAUAUCGACGGCGGUGUUUGGCACCUCGAUGUCGGCUCAUCUCAUCCUGGGGCUGAAGCCGGUCCCAAGGGUAUGGCUGUUCGCCAUUUAAAGAGGUACGCGAGCUGGGUUUAGAACGUCGUGAGACAGUUCGGUCCCUAUCUGCCGUGGGCGUUGGAGAUUUGAGAGGAGCUGCUCCUAGUACGAGAGGACCGGAGUGGACGAACCUCUGGUGUUCCGGUUGUCACGCCAGUGGCAUUGCCGGGUAGCUACGUUCG